AUUGAACGCUGGCGGCAGGCUUAACACAUGCAAGUCGAACGAGUGGCGGACGGGUGAGUAAUGCUUGGGAAUCUAGCUUAUGGAGGGGGAUAACUACGGGAAACUGUAGCUAAUACCGCGUACCAUAGGAUGAGCCCAAGUGGGGUUAGGUAGUUGGUGAGGUAAAGGCUCACCAAGCCGACGAUCUCUAGCUGGUCUGAGAGGAUGACCAGCCACACUGGGACUGAGAAACGGCCCAGACUCCUACGGGAGGCAGCAGUGGGCAAUAUUGAGGAAGGAGGGCAAACAGACGCAGCCAUGCCGCGUGAAUGAUGAAGGCCUUCGGGUUGUAAAGUGCUUUCGGUCGCGAGGCGUUAACUACAGAAGAAGCAACGGCUAACUACGUGCCAGCAGCCGCGGUAAUAC
This 405-nucleotide ribosomal RNA is filed under the name uncultured bacterium. RNAcentral describes it as "partial 16S ribosomal RNA". It matches the Rfam family "Bacterial small subunit ribosomal RNA", at positions 30 to 526 of the family's 1533-position model. The record is from RNAcentral.